GAUGAAGAACGUAGCGAAAUGCGAUAAGUAAUGUGAAUUGCAGAAUUCAGUGAAUCAUCGAAUCUUUGAACGCACCUUGCACUCCUUGGUAUUCCGAGGAGUACGCCUGUUCGAGUGUUAUGAAGCUCUCAAAACGCAAUUGGCUUAAAACCUGAUUGUUGUUUUGGAUUUGAACUUUGCCGUGUUAUAACGGCUGGUUUUAAAAGUAUUAGCUGGUACUAGAACGAAUUGGUUCUACUCAACGUGAUAAUUAUCUGAUCGUUGAGGACAUUCCUUUCACGAGGAAUGGCCAUAGUAAAUUCAAUGGACUGCUUCUAAUCUGGCUUUAAUUCUUUAUUGGAUUAACCGCUUUUCAAAUCUGACCUCGAAUCAGGUGGGACUACCCGCUGAACUUAAGCAUAUCAAUAAGCGGAGGA
This 416-nucleotide unclassified non-coding RNA is filed under the name soil metagenome. RNAcentral describes it as "partial contains 5.8S ribosomal RNA, internal transcribed spacer 2, and large subunit ribosomal RNA". The stretch from base 1 to 120 matches the Rfam family "5.8S ribosomal RNA", at positions 35 to 154 of the family's 154-position model. The record is from RNAcentral.